RNAcentral lists this unclassified non-coding RNA (280 nucleotides) under Oryza sativa (Asian cultivated rice). RNAcentral describes it as "partial microRNA MIR439f precursor". Lineage: Eukaryota; Viridiplantae; Streptophyta; Magnoliopsida; Poales; Poaceae. The record is from RNAcentral.
CUUGUUGGAUCCUCCGAGUUAUUAAAUAGCCCUCCAGAAUUAUUUAGGAGUAUUAAAUGUAGAUUAUCGAUAAAACCGAUUCCAUAACCUCUAGGCUAUUCUGUGAGACGAAUUUAAUGAUGUAUAUUAAUCUAUGAUUAAUAUACCUUAUUAGAUUUGUCUCGCAAAAUAGCCUAGAGAUUAUAGAAUGAGUUUUGUCAGUAAUCUACGUUUAAUACUCCUAAAUAGUAAGAUUCCGAAGGGCUAUUUAAUAGCCCUCCGGAUCCAAACAGGGCCUUUA